Molecule: long non-coding RNA, 590 nt
Organism: Astatotilapia calliptera (eastern happy)
Lineage: Eukaryota; Metazoa; Chordata; Actinopteri; Cichliformes; Cichlidae
Source: Ensembl
GACAAAGUCAAAGCACACAUUUUUAAAUAUUUAAGUCUAUGAAUAAAACAGCCCUCUUCAUUUUCUUAUUCACUACUGUUUUUUUGGCACUGAUAAUAAUAAUACUAAUAUUAAUACUACUACUAAUAAUAAUAACAAUAAUAACAAUAAUGACAACUGAAAUUGUAAAUUCUUAUCAUCAAACUGCGGUACCUGUGUGUAUUCGUCUGUGUUGCAGAUCAGCUGAAGCUAAAAAAGAAGAAAAGAAAAAAAAAAGAGCCCAGUUUGCAGACACCUUCCUCGAGCGCAGCGCUCCGAGAUCUAUCCGUUGCGCGUACGAGAGCACGCGAGAAGCAGAAGCUGAAACAACACAUCACCGAGGGCUGAGCGCAAUAAAAAGAAAGAAAAGAAAGAAAAAGUGCUGGUGGAACAAGCGGAGACAACCGCAGAUAUAUGCGGGAGGAAAGGAGGAGGAUCGAUUUAUCACGUCUCUCGCAUUUUGUGCCGUGUCCACCGGCGCAUGGUUUUUGAGGAGCUAUGAGGUCUCUGAACCACAAUGACAAUAUCACCGCCGGUAUGAUGACGAGGGGUUCAUAUUGUGAAAAUUCCCU